GGAGGGGUGGCUGAGUGGCCGAUAGCACCGCUUUGCUAAAGCGGCGUGGGGGUCAAACCUCACCGCGGGUUCGAAUCCCGCCUCCUCCG
RNAcentral lists this transfer RNA (89 nucleotides) under Planctomycetia bacterium. RNAcentral's name for it is "tRNA-Ser". It matches the Rfam family "tRNA". From Rfam's summary of the family: Transfer RNA (tRNA) molecules are approximately 80 nucleotides in length. Their secondary structure includes four short double-helical elements and three loops (D, anti-codon, and T loops). Lineage: Bacteria; Pseudomonadati; Planctomycetota; Planctomycetia. The record is from RNAcentral.